GAUGAACGCUGGCGGUAUGCCUUAGGUAUGCAAGUCGAACGGUUUUGUAGCAAUACAAGACAGUGGCGGACGGGUGAGUAACACGUAAGAAUCUACCCCAAAGUAUGGAAUAACUCCUCGAAAGAGGGGCUAAUACCGUAUGUGAUGAUCUAAUCAUUAAAGGGCUUCACGGCCCGCUAUGGGAGGAGCUUGCGUCCUAUCAGCUUGUUGGUGAGGUAAUGGCUCACCAAGGCUCUGACGGGUAGCUGGUCUGAGAGGACGGACAGCCACAACUGCACUGAGACACGGGCAGUACACCUACGGGUGGCAGCAACCAGGAAUAUUGGGCAAUGGACGAAAGUCUGACCCAGCAAUACCGCGUGGAGGAUGACGGUUUUCGGAUCGUAAACUCCUUUUGCCAAGCCCUUCACAGCUUGGAGAAUAAGCCUUUACUAACUACGUGCCAGAAGUCUCGGUAAUACGUGGGAGGCAAGCGUUAUCCGGAUUGACUGGGCGUAAAGCGUGCGUAGGCGGCUUCCUAAGUCUUUUGUUUAAAGACCAAGGCUUAACCUUGGUUUGGCAGAGAUACUGGGUCGCUUGAAGAUUGCUCGGGAUGCUGGAACAGUUGGUGUAGCGGUGAAAUGCGUUGAUAUCAACUGGAACACCAAAGGCGAAGGCAGGCAUCUGGGGUUUUCUUGACGCUGAGGUACGAAAGCUAGGGUAGCGAAACAGAUUAGAGACCUGUGUAGUCCUAGCCGUAAACUAUGGACGCUAAAUUCCCCUUACAAAGGGUAUAAGCGUAAAUUUUAUGAGUAAAUUCUUGGCAAGUAUUGAUAGUUUGAAAAAACUGAUUUUUUUGUAGAGAAUUUACAGAUUGAUUUACUAAUCUUGUACAUUUUGUUGGGGGAGUUGUAAGCUAACGCGUUAAGCGUCCCGCCUGGGGAGUACGGCCGCAAGGCUAAAACUCAAAGGAAUUGACGGGGACCCGCACAACCAGUGGAGCGUGUGGUUUAAUUCGAGACGAAGCGAAAAACCUCACCAGGAUUUGACAUGUAACCGUUUUAGUCCCCUAGAAAUAGGGGAUGAUCCCCUCAAGACUACAAAUUUUGCAGUUUUGAGGGGGAUGGUUACACAGGUGCUGCAUGGUUGUCGUCAGCUCGUGCCGUGAGGUGUUCCCUUAAGUGGGGAAACGAGUGCAACCCUUGUCCUGUGUUAUAUUUUUCACAGGAGACUGCCUCGCUUUGCGAGGAGGAAGGAGAGGCGGACGUCAAAUCAGCAUGGCCCUUACAUCCUGGGCUACACACACCCUACAAUGGCGAAAAACAAUGAGUCGCAAGCUCGCGAGGGUAAGCUAAUCUCUGAAAUUUCGCCUCAGUUCAGAUUGGAGUCUGCAAUUCGACUCCAUGAAGGAGGAAUUGGUAGUAAUCGCAGAUCAGCAUGGCUGCGGUGAAUACGUUCUCGGGUC
RNAcentral lists this ribosomal RNA (1444 nucleotides) under uncultured bacterium. RNAcentral describes it as "bacterial SSU rRNA". It matches the Rfam family "Bacterial small subunit ribosomal RNA", at positions 28 to 1380 of the family's 1533-position model. The record is from RNAcentral.